This 426-nucleotide ribosomal RNA is filed under the name uncultured bacterium. Its description in RNAcentral is "bacterial SSU rRNA". It matches the Rfam family "Bacterial small subunit ribosomal RNA", at positions 354 to 796 of the family's 1533-position model. The record is from RNAcentral.
GUCGGGAAUAUUGCACAAUGAGCGAAAGCUUGAUGCAGCAACGCCGCGUGCGCGAUGAAGGUCUUCGGAUCGUAAAGCGCUUUUCGAGGGGAUGAGGAAGGACAGUACCCUCGGAAUAAGUCACGGCUAACUACGUGCCAGCAGCCGCGGUAAAACGUAGGUGGCGAGCGUUAUCCGGAUUUACUGGGCGUAAAGCGUGUUCAGGCGGUUUGGAAAGUCGGGCAUGAAAUCUCUUGGCUCAACCAGGAGAGGCUGUCCGAUACUUCCAGACUUGAGGGCAACAGAGGGCGGUGGAAUUCCGGGUGUAGUGGUAAAAUGCGUAGAUAUCCGGAGGAACACCAGUGGCGAAGGCGGCCGCCUGGGUUGCCCCUGACGCUAAAACACGAAGGCUAGGGUAGAGAACGGGAUUAGAAACCCCUGUAGUCC